RNAcentral lists this long non-coding RNA (7485 nucleotides) under Nicotiana tabacum (common tobacco). RNAcentral describes it as "long non-coding RNA (NTAB_LNC007832)". Lineage: Eukaryota; Viridiplantae; Streptophyta; Magnoliopsida; Solanales; Solanaceae. The record is from RNAcentral.
UAAUACCCUAAAGUUAAGACCUAAUUUCAAAGAAACUGGAAAUGACAGACCCCCUCCUCUCUUGAAUUCUCAGCAGCCGCACAACCACAGUCCCUCCUCUCCAUCGCUUAAGCUUCUGCCCAACGACCUCUUCGAUUGAAGACCAACAACCAUCAAUCUCUAACUCCCCAAAAAUGGCCGAACUCCCCCCUCUUUAUAACCAAGAGCCACACACCUCUCACCUUCACCAAUCCUUAAAACAUCCCCAGUUGUCACCCCUAAAACUAGCCAUCGGGAACAAGCACACACAUAUAGUUGAAGGAAAUCGAUGACCACUCUCAACCCCUCCCCCAUCGCUCAGAUCUGAGUAAAAGGAGGUAGCGAGGCAAUCUGAUCAAAGUUGAUGAGGUUUCCGGCGAGGUUUUCCAUUUUAGAUUUUGUUCGCGAGUCCGAUAUCUAGUCGUUUGUGGAACAAAUACUCGAUUUUAUGAGUAAUACGAGCCUGAGAUUUUGGUGAUUAAUUUGAAAGUGUGGCUGCUUGAGGUCUGUUUUUACUUUGAAUUUAAUCUUUUCUCCGUGUUCCUGUUUCUUUGAUGAUUAUGACUGCCCUAUCAUUAUUCGGUUAUUUUGUGUUUUGUUUAAAAUUAUCUCUUAAUUUGAUUUGUUUAUGCUUAGUUUGAAUAUGAUACAUUAUAUAGAACAGAAAUGAAUUAGUUGGUUAGUUUUCAGAAUGAUGAACACAUGAUAUGUUUGGUUUAAUAAUUUUGGGUUAACAUUCAUCGAGAGUGCAAAGUAAACCACGAUAGUGAAUGAAAUUAAGGGUAGUUGUGUUUGGAUUGAUUCAAGUAACUAAAAAGGUUAAUGGCAAUAAAUUAAAGUUUACGCCUUCCUGUUGGAGUGUUGGGUCAUGAAACUUGACUUGGAAUGUUUGAUAGAACUUUUCUAUAUUAAGCUCAAAAACUUUUCAUGCUCGCAUUCUUGUUUAUUUAAUGGACUGCUAGUAUAAUGUUUAGGCCAUCGAUACAUGGGUAGGCAAAUCUUUAGGACGUUUGUGAUUUAAUUUCUGUUAAGGCGAGAGGUUGUCCCUUUAGUCGAUUAUAUUAUCUGGGGAAUGCUCCGAAGAUUUUGUAUAUAUUUUUAUCCGGGGUAUCCCCUAAAGUAUUUGUAUUGAAAGUCCAACAAUAGAACACUUUGAGGAAGCAUAGAAUAGUAUUUUUAUUUUUACUUUUAUUUUUGUUUCAUUAGGUGGGGACGACCUCGAGCCUCUUUUGAUUGUUUUUUUUUUAGUUUUUAUUUUUUUGUGUUUUUCUACCUCAAUUUGAGUAUUUUUUUAAAGCCAACUUGAUCAUGUACGCAACCGUACUAGUUACAGGACUCGAAGAAUGCCUAACACCUUCUCCUCGAGUCAAAUGAACCCCCUUAUCUAGAAUCUUUGGUGCAAACUGGUUUAAGAGUCAAAUAUGUUUUGAAGGAAAAUUGUUAUUUUGAAAAUGGUGACCUUGCACACCGACACCAAUGUUAGGUGGCGAUUCUGAAAAAUCCUUCGAAAUACAAUAUUUUUGUCACUUUUCAAUUUUUAAAACCCUUUUGAGCUCAAAAAUUACUUUAUUAUUUUAAAGGAGUUAGUGAGGUAAAAAAAGGGGUGUGACACCGGGUAGUUUUAGGACUCUACCAUGUAUUACUUGUAUUAUUUGCACUCAACUUGUUAGUUUAAAUACUUAAAUUUAUAAUUAUAAUUGGAUAAAUGAUUUGUAAAGACCGAGCUUCAUUACUUUGAGUCUUGGCAAAAUACUUGAUUGUUAGCGGAACUUAUGCCUUCUUUGAGUAUUAAUCUUAUGUGGUAGUCAUAAAUCAGAGCUUGUAGAGUAUUCUCUAUUCCUGUGGAUCGGGAUGAAUGCCUCAGCGGUAUAAUAGGUUCAUCUAUGGUUCGUGUCGGUCAACCCUCGGCAGUGUAUACACUAUUAUGGAUCGGGUCGUACGACCUCAACAUAAAUCGUGCGUGAUAUUGCUCGGAGUCUGAUUAUGCUUGAUAUUUCUUCUUAAUCUGAGACUAGGAAAUUUGUAAUGACCUGGCCGGUCGUUUCAUGAGUUGCCGCUCUGUUUCCCCCAUUUUUGUUUUCUUAUGUGAUGUUCAGCUACAUCUCAUCGUAUAAUGUUAGUUGGUUCGGGUUCAUAGUAGUUUUGGAGUGUUAUGAGACACUUAGUCUUUUAAGUUGGCAAUUUAGUUGGAAAGGUCAACCGGAAGUUGACUUGUGAGUAAAUGAUCUCGUAACAUGGUGUUUAUGGUUUGGAUAGCUUCAUGAGGUGAUUUGGGACUUAGGAGCAUGUUCAGAAUGUAAUUCGGAGAUCCGUGGUAGAUUUAGGCUUGAAUUGGCGAAAUUGGAAUUUUGGCGUUUUUCGGUUGGUAGCGAAAAUUUUGAUAUCGGGGUCGGAAUGGAAUUCCGAAAAUUGAAGUAGGUCCGUUGUAUCAUUUGUGAUGUAUGUGCAAAGAUUAGGUCAUUCAAAUUAGGUUUGAUAGACUCUUUGAUUGAUUGCGGAAUUCGGAAGUUUUGGAUCCUUAGGCUUGAAUCCGAGGGUGUUUUGAUGAUUCGAUGUUGUUUUAAGUGUUCCGAAGGUUGGUAUUGUUGAUACCCAAUUUUUCCCUAUGUAUUUUUAUAUACAAAAUACUUUCAAAAUAGCAUAUAUAUGCAUAUAUAAGCAUGCCCAAGUGUUUUGGUAUUUUUUCUAAUUUUUUUAAAAAGAUUUUAAAAUUAAUUUAUUGUCCACUUUAGCAGUAACUAUUCCCAAGAUUAUCGUUUUGGUGGAUAACUUAUCUUAUUAUCAUAUUUAUACCAAAAUAUAGUUAAGGUAAUUUUUGUUUGUUUUUACAAAUUUUAUUUGGUAUUUUAAAGCUAAAUUGCAUGUAAUUGCAAUUCUAGCCUACUUUAAGAUUAAUAGCAUUUUACAAUUGUAAAAUUAUUUCCAGUAUUUUUAAAUUAAUAUUUAUAUAUUAUUAAUUGGCUCAGUACUUUUAGUUUGCUUUUAAAAUUAUUUACUAUUUUUAUAAAAUAAAAGGGAAAACUAGCUAUUUAACAUCUAGCCUCAUUCUAUUUCAAAUACAACCUUUUUACCUUUCAAUUUUAACCAUUAUUUGACCCAAUCUUAACCUAUUUGGACCGGCCCAAUUUUUAAUUUUACCAAACCCACAACCCGAUCCAAAUGACCCUUACCCGGUUCCCACCUACCCUCCUAAAUCUGGGUCGUUGAUCACACAAGAUCAACGGCCGUAACUCACCCUUCCAUAAUUAAACCAAACGACCUACCCUAAUCUCCCUCAUUCACACCUGACCCGCCGCCUUUGAAUCCCAAACGUUCUCAAAUCCUCUCAUCAACUCUUCGAAACCCUAGCCUCCUCCUACCUUAUUUCACCAUGUUUUCACCGAAAUUCAUGGCUUCUCAAGCCAUGGACGGUCUGUACUCACCCCUCUCCAUCAUUAUACCUUGGGUGUUCGAGGUUUUGAAGGCUGACUUCGAUGGUUCUUGUAGGCUCUUCUCUGUUUAUUUUCUUAGAUCUAUGGUAUGUCCAUGUUCUACUGGGCUUCUAAAGUGUUUACCCCAAAUUUUCUUUUCAAAAAUCGUUUCUGAAAAAGUUUUCAAAAAUGAUCUUUCUGAUUCUUUAUUUAUGUGUGUUUGUCUGUGCUAUGCUCGUAUGGCUUCUUUUACUACGCGUGUACUGUUCUCUUACUCUUCUUUUUCUACUAUACCUGUUACUCUUGUUAAUCCUUGUUAUGUUUCCCUUACUCUUCUACUAUAUGUGCUUACUGUUGUGUUUUUUUUAUUUUGUUUGCUCUAUUAGACUUUGUUUACGUUCUUGCUGAACAUGUUUCCUCUGUUUUAAUUUAAGUCUGUAUCACCCCUUCUUUUCUGAACUUGUUUAAGUUUGAGUUUCUCAAAUAUGUUCUCUAUGACCUCAAAUUAGCUUUUUUUCUUUGUAUCAUGUCUGUUUGUUUCUCAUAAGUCUUUGAAAUAGACUUCUGAGCCUGUUUCAAUGACUUGCUUUCUUAUCUCUAUGAAACCCUAGGAUUUGGGGGUUUUUGGCAAUUUUGAAUUUGUGCGAGUUAGGGUUCCGCUUUGGGACCCUGAACCCUCAGACUCAUUGUGAGUCUGCAAACUGGACUUGUACCCUUUCUUGCUCAUGAUUCUGAACCUCUCUUUGAGUAAAAUCUCUUUUAUAUAACUUCUUGAUUCACAUGUUUGUGUGCUUUUAUAUAUGAGAACUCUUCUUUCAAAAGGUCUUUACCAACUAAUUGAUUGAUUUCGAAUUCCUUUUAAUGAGCCCUGACUGAUUUNNNNNNNNNNNNNNNNNNNNNNNNNNNNNNNNNNNNNNNNNNNNNNNNNNNNNNNNNNNNNNNNNNNNNNNNNNNNNNNNNNNNNNNNNNNNNNNNNNNNNNNNNNNNNNNNNNNNNNNNNNNNNNNNNNNNNNNNNNNNNNNNNNNNNNNNNNNNNNNNNNNNNNNNNNNNNNNNNNNNNNNNNNNNNNNNNNNNNNNNNNNNNGCAACUUUGAUUUCCCUGGCUGUUUGAUUGAUUUCCUUUCCUUAUUUUUUCCAAGCUGUGCACCACUGAGCUUUUCCUUAAAUAAACUUCUAUGUAUUUACCCCUUUUGUGCUACUUUGAAAAGGUUUUAAUCAAAAAUUUCUUUCCUUAAAUGUCUUCUACCCAUUUGAAAUCAAAUUCCUUAACUGAAGGGAAAUUCUAUGUGAUUGAUUGCAAGUUAUUUUUUUACCUUUCUUACUUUCUUCUUUGCUCUAUAAAAGGGACUACCCUUCUGCACUUUUGAGACAACUUGGAGUUCAAUACCUCGAACUUUUAGAUCAAUACUUUCAACUUACUUACACACUUUAUUGCUUUGAGUUCAAUACUCUUACAACAUUCUGCUCUUUUCUGGGAUCUUUUGGAACUUUUGCUUGCAACUUGGCUUUUUCAAAACUACUUUUACUUGUUUAUUUUGCCUGAAACUGGUAUGUUCUAAUUUAGCCUUUUUGCCUCAGCCCUAUGUGUUUAUUUACAGUUUUCUACAAUCCUGUUUACACUGUUGUUCAUGAUUAAUGUUAACUAUGUGUGUUCUUUCCUUGCAUCUAUUUUCUGUUAUGAAUCCCUACCCCUAUUCCCUUCUAUGUGUUUGAGUUAAGGUUCAUGGCCUGGCAGUAUCCAAAUUACUGCCCAGGUCCAAACCUGAUCCUCAAUGGAUCCUAACUCCCAAUUUUGGCUGACAGGCUGGUCAGAGGUGUGCCAACACUCUUAAAUUGUUGGGCAUGACCACCAGCAUGCCAUGGCCUUCCCUAAUUCCCCUCUAUUCACUUACACUUAUUCUUAGACUCUUAAGUUCUGCCCCCUCUUAUGAGCCUUGCUUUGGGAUCUUGAGUUCCCUCUAAACUUGGACAUCUGAGGGUUGGCCCUUCCACUACACUAUUAUCUCAAUUCUGCAAUGUGUUUGGGGUGUAAGCACUGCCCGAAGCCCUUUGAGACUCUUGGGAACUUUGACACAUCCCAAACAUGAGAAAGGCUUUUGGAAAUCUGAUCUUGAAAGUUGGUUUAUCUCAUAUUGUUGGACUUUGAGUCUGAAUUAGGCUGUUUGGUUGUAGCUUGAAUUUCUGAUGUAAUUUUACUUUUCUUGAUUCAUUCUAGCCUGUAAUAUUUUAUAAUAACUUAUGGGGUUCUAAGUAAAAAAGGAGAGGGUCAUUUAUGUAUGCAAAGGGUAAACAACAUGCUCAUAGGUGUUACUAUUUACAAGUUCUACACUUCUGCAUAUCAUAUAGAAAUCCUGCCUAUAAGUUUCUGCAUAUAGAAAUCAUGUAUAAGUUUCUGCACUUAGGAAUUUAGAAAUCCUGCCUAUAAGUUAUGCAUUACACGUAGAAAUCUUGACUAUAAGUUGUUUCAUUACUGCAUUAGAAACCAUGCCUAUAAGUUUCUGCAUAUAGAAAUCAUGACUAUAGUUUUGUUUCUGCAUUUCUACAUAUUCAUAUGUCGUUAGGCAAACAAUCAUAGGUUUAAUAAUAAUCAACUUCAUUCUAUAUACCAUGCCUAUAGGGCUCCUGCACUAACAUAAUCAUUUUAAAAUCAAUAACGCUUAGAAAUCAUGCCUAUAGGAGCAGCCGUCUGAAUCUGAUUCGUUUAUUUUAUCUAAAAUCAGUAGUAAUGUUUGUUUAAUAUCUACAGAAUUUAAUUGGUCCUAAAAUCAGUAACCUUUCUUUAAAAUCAGUAUACUUCCACCUAGGUAAGAAGUAGGUAGUUGUUUAACUAUGUCAGUUUUAAUAAAUUGCAACCAGACAAGGCCUAAUUCAGACUCCUCAUCUGAGAAAUAUGUGAUGAAGCAGCAUGUCCUAACGCUUUAGUUUAAUUCAGACUAUAACCAGUAUUUGAAGUAAUGAUAAAUAAUUUGCUCCUUUAAGUGAGGAGGCAUGUUUGAGCCCUUAAAUUGCUAUUUGUUUCCCCCUACUUGCUUAUGUGUUUUGUUUGUCGUAUUAGAAUUUUGUCCUUUUAAAACUCUGGAAAAAAAACCAACCUACCUCCCUUUAGGACUAGUAGUCCCAAAUGCCUCCGGGACUGAUAGGAUCGAGACGGGUAAUACCAUGCAGUAAGCAAUGACACUAUUCCGCAUUUAAUACCUUAACGGGGUGGGAAAGGGUAGAUAUGGACAUGAUGACCGGUGCGCUAAUACCACAUGCGACCCCCCUUUUGAGGAGUGAUUGUCGGGUAUUGCAUUGAUGUGAUCCAUAUUGUUUGUAAACCUAGGACCCCUUCCCCUUUACUUGUUAUCCUUUUUUUUAACUGUCCAAACUAUUUGCUUAAGAUUUCUAUUUUCUUUAUCUUUCUUCAAACAUUCAAUUCACUUGCAACAUUAUCCCCUUCUAUUUGAGACCUUUAUUUGCUUACUUGUUAGUUAAAUUCACAAUUGUAACAUNNNNNNNNNNNNNNNNNNNNNNNNNNNNNNNNNNNNNNNNNNNNNNNNNNNNNNNNNNNNNNNNNNNNNNNNNNNNNNNNNNNNNNNNNNNNNNNNNNNNNNNNNNNNNNNNNNNNNNNNNNNNNNNNNNNNNNNNNNNNNNNNNNNNNNNNNNNNNNNNNNNNNNNNNGCCCUUACCCGAACUCUGGUUUUCCAACUCGAACUCUUAUUUAGUGUCCUAAUGCACUUUAAUCAUUAGGUGGCGACUCUUCAACCCAAAAACCCAAUUCCCAAGAGGGAACGAGUUGUCCUCCCAAAUGUCAUGAACCCGAUUUUGCUUUUGGAAAAAGAAGGCGCGACAGCGUGGCGACUCUGCUGGGGACUUCUUUAGGCUUUUACCAUCUCAUGUUACUUGUGACUUCACUACUUCUUUAUUACCUUUAUUUAAUGUCUUUACCUCUUUUCUGCUAUGAAACUGACUUGGCUCUUUGUUUUUUUUCUUUAAUGCUUUCUUUUACUGCUUUCCUUCACUGUCGUUGUAAUUAUGAGCAAUUAUUGUAAUCAUUACUUUAUUAACGUGCAAAUAC